AUUGAACGCUGGCGGCAUGCUUUACACAUGCAAGUCGAACGGUAACAGGCCUUCGGGUGCUGACGAGUGGCGAACGGGUGAGUAAUGCAUCGGAACGUACCCAGAGGUGGGGGAUAACGCAGCGAAAGCUGUGCUAAUACCGCAUGUGAUCUGAGGAUGAAAGCGGGGGACCGAGCAGCAAUGUUUGGCCUCGCGCCUUUGGAGCGGCCGAUGUCGGAUUAGCUAAUUGGUGGGGUAAAGGCCUACCAAGGCGACGAUCCGUAGCUGGUCUGAGAGGACGACCAGCCACACUGGGACUGAGACACGGCCCAGACUCCUACGGGAGGCAGCAGUGGGGAAUUUUGGACAAUGGGCGCAAGCCUGAUCCAGCAAUGCCGCGUGCGGGAAGAAGGCCUUCGGGUUGUAAACCGCUUUUGGCGGGAACGAAACGGUGUCCGCUAAUACCGGGCGCUAAUGACGGUACCUGCAGAAUAAGCACCGGCUAACUACGUG
Molecule: ribosomal RNA, 492 nt
Filed under: uncultured bacterium
Lineage: Bacteria
Description: partial 16S ribosomal RNA
Rfam family: Bacterial small subunit ribosomal RNA
Source: RNAcentral